UUGCCUCGGUGUGGCGCAACGGUGAAACACCGUGCACUGGCAGCUGAAGAUGGGGGAGCCCGUCAGAGGUGUGCUGCCGGCAUUAAAUUGGAUGCUGCACUUAAAUCGGUGGGAAUCAGUGUUGCACCGCCCGCCGGGCCUCAAAGGCACAUCUCUCAUCUUCG
RNAcentral lists this unclassified non-coding RNA (164 nucleotides) under Spongia cf. irregularis AG-2019. RNAcentral describes it as "sequence contains ITS1, 5.8S rRNA gene, ITS2". Lineage: Eukaryota; Metazoa; Porifera; Demospongiae; Dictyoceratida; Spongiidae. The record is from RNAcentral.